UACGUAGGUGGCAAGCGUUGUCCGGAUUUACUGGGCGUAAAGGAUGCGUAGGCGGAUGUUUAAGUGAGAUGUGAAAUACCCGAGCUCAACUUGGGUGCUGCAUUUCAAACUGGAUAUCUAGAGUGCAGGAGAGGAAAGCGGAAUUCCUAGCGUAGCGGUGAAAUGCGUAGAGAUUAGGAAGAACACCAGUGGCGAAGGCGGCGUUCUGGACUGUAACUGACGCUGAGGCAUGAAAGCGUGGGGAGCAAACAGG
RNAcentral lists this ribosomal RNA (253 nucleotides) under uncultured bacterium. RNAcentral's name for it is "partial 16S ribosomal RNA". It matches the Rfam family "Bacterial small subunit ribosomal RNA", at positions 524 to 776 of the family's 1533-position model. The record is from RNAcentral.